UACGGAGGGGGCGAGCGUUGUCCGAAGUUACUGGGCGUAAAGCGUGCGUAGGUGGUUCGUUAAGUCUGAUGUGAAAGCCCUGGGCUCAACCUGGGAAUGGCAUUGGAAACUGGCGACCUAGAGUGCGGUAGAGGGUAGUGGAAUUCCCGGUGUAGCAGUGAAAUGCGUAGAGAUCGGGAGGAACAUCCGUGGCGAAGGCGACUACCUGGACCAGCACUGACACUGAGGCACGAAAGCGUGGGGAGCAAACAGG
RNAcentral lists this ribosomal RNA (253 nucleotides) under uncultured bacterium. RNAcentral describes it as "partial 16S ribosomal RNA". It matches the Rfam family "Bacterial small subunit ribosomal RNA", at positions 524 to 776 of the family's 1533-position model. The record is from RNAcentral.